UACGUAGGGACCAAGCGUUGUCCGGAAUCAUUGGGCGUAAAGCGCGCGUAGGUGGCCAUUUAAGUCCGCUGUGAAAGUCAAAGGCUCAACCUUUGAAAGCCGGUGGAUACUGGAUGGCUAGAGUACGGAAGAGGCGAGUGGAAUUCCGGGUGUAGCGGUGGAAUGCGUAGAGAUCCGGAAGAACACCGGUGGCGAAGGCGGUCUGCUGGGGUCGAACUGACGCUGAGGCGCGACAGCGUGGGGAGCAAACAGG
Molecule: ribosomal RNA, 253 nt
Filed under: uncultured bacterium
Lineage: Bacteria
Description: partial 16S ribosomal RNA
Rfam family: Bacterial small subunit ribosomal RNA
Source: RNAcentral